RNAcentral lists this ribosomal RNA (541 nucleotides) under uncultured Gallionellaceae bacterium. RNAcentral's name for it is "bacterial SSU rRNA". It matches the Rfam family "Bacterial small subunit ribosomal RNA", at positions 135 to 671 of the family's 1533-position model. The record is from RNAcentral. Lineage: Bacteria; Pseudomonadati; Pseudomonadota; Betaproteobacteria; Nitrosomonadales; Gallionellaceae.
AAUGGGGGAUAACGUAGCGAAAGUUACGCUAAUACCGCAUAUGCCCUGAGGGGGAAAGUGGGGGAUCGCAAGACCUCACGUUUUCGGAGCGGCCGAUAUCGGAUUAGCUAGUAGGUUGGGUAAAGGCUGACCUAGGCGACGAUCCGUAGCUGGUCUGAGAGGACGACCAGCCACACUGGGACUGAGACACGGCCCAGACUCCUACGGGAGGCAGCAGUGGGGAAUUUUGGACAAUGGGGGCAACCCUGAUCCAGCCAUGCCGCGUGAGUGAAGAAGGCCUUCGGGUUGUAAAGCUCUUUCGGACAGAAAGAAAUCGCCAUUCCUAAUACGAGUGGUGGAUGACGGUACUGUAAGAAGAAGCACCGGCUAACUACGUGCCAGCAGCCGCGGUAAUACGUAGGGUGCGAGCGUUAAUCGGAAUUACUGGGCGUAAAGCGUGCGCAGGCGGUUUCGUAAGACAGACGUGAAAUCCCCGGGCUUAACCUGGGAACUGCGUUUGUGACUGCGAGGCUAGAGUGUAGCAGAGGGGGGUAGAAUUCCA